This is a long non-coding RNA of Engraulis encrasicolus (European anchovy), 687 nucleotides long. RefSeq lists it as uncharacterized. NCBI's taxonomy places the organism in Eukaryota, Metazoa, Chordata, Actinopteri, Clupeiformes, Engraulidae. The transcript has 4 exons. The record is from RefSeq and is a predicted model, not a curated record.
UAGUGAUUAGUUGCACCUGUGAAAUGGACAACGAGCGUCAAGAAACCGUUUUCAAUCGUCUUUUCAACAUAGCUACUCGUGCAAGAGCAGAGUUGGCAAGCUCCAGUGCAGAUCAUGCCUAAAGUUACUUCAACGCGACGACCGACUGUUUCAUCGAGUACAGGUUAGGCGACGAGGACAUGAUGAGGACAAGCACUGUCAAGUCCUCUUCCGCUCCAAUGAUUAUAGCCAGUCCCCAAGGCUCCACGUCUCUAUGCACCAUUCAUCUCAACACUAACCAAAUGGUGGCUUUGUAACAGUGAUUGUGGGAGGAUGCUGUGCAGGUGUCAACAUGAAUGUGCCGGAGGACUAGAGUAUGCUGGCGUCGACACCCCACCUCCUCCCCUUCAGACUCCAUCGAGGGUUGGUCCCUGUCCUGUGAGGAGAGGAUGCAAUGGGUCUCUGCUUCAGCCGUGGCACCUUCUCUACAACCCUCGCCACUGUCACCAGUUUGUCCCCAUCCUGUGAAGGGGGGUAGGCUUUAGCCCCCUGCCUCAUCAAUCGGCAGGAUAAGCGCCCUCUUCUUUGAAACAGGACAUGUUUUAUUGAUGCUCUACAUGAGUAUUAUAUACAUGUAUAUAUACAGUGCCAUGUGUAUGUUUUUACCCCCCCUACUGAUUUUGUUUACUUUUUUGCACAUUUGGCACA